CCAAGUAUUAUGAGCCCUUCUUGUGGCGAUUCUGUGGCAAGUUGUAUCUAACCUGCUGAAAUUUAAUAUAAAUAAGUAGCUUCCCAAGCUAAGGGCCGUGGGUUCGAUCCCCAUCACCUGAUCCA
Molecule: transfer RNA, 125 nt
Filed under: Candidatus Thiodiazotropha sp. (ex Codakia orbicularis)
Lineage: Bacteria; Pseudomonadati; Pseudomonadota; Gammaproteobacteria; Chromatiales; Sedimenticolaceae
Description: tRNA-Gly
Source: RNAcentral